Molecule: transfer RNA, 72 nt
Filed under: Saccharopolyspora dendranthemae
Lineage: Bacteria; Bacillati; Actinomycetota; Actinomycetes; Pseudonocardiales; Pseudonocardiaceae
Also listed under: 4 other names
Description: tRNA-Asn(gtt)
Rfam family: tRNA
About the family: Transfer RNA (tRNA) molecules are approximately 80 nucleotides in length. Their secondary structure includes four short double-helical elements and three loops (D, anti-codon, and T loops).
Source: RNAcentral
UCCUCCGUAGCUCAAUGGCAGAGCAUUCGGCUGUUAACCGAAGGGUUACUGGUUCGAGUCCAGUCGGAGGAG